This 622-nucleotide long non-coding RNA is filed under the name Centruroides sculpturatus (bark scorpion). RNAcentral's name for it is "uncharacterized LOC111622199, transcript variant X2". Lineage: Eukaryota; Metazoa; Arthropoda; Arachnida; Scorpiones; Buthidae. The record is from RNAcentral.
UUUUGAAUUGGCUAUUUUUAGGCUACUUUUUAGGAAACUUUUGGUUACGAAAGCUAGUGACAUCUGGCAACGCUGAAAUUGAAAAUGUCUCGUGUUCGUUAUUUUACUUUGAGUUACUUUUAACUGUAGAAGUAGAAUAUAUGCUGUGAGGAAGAAGUGGGUUUUCUUUCAUAUUCAUUAUAAAUUUUCUGUGAUUAUAUUUUCAUAAAAUUUUAAGAAUGUUUCUUCUAAGUGUGACAAAAUUUUUUAAAAAAUUCAAAAAAUUGUGUUUGAUUUUAAUACUUUGUGAUUAUCACAUCAAAUAUCAUAAUAAUGGAAUGAUACGAUAAAUAUGUAUUAAUUACUGUGAAAUUCAAGGAAUUGCAGUGAUCAGAACAUGUAGAUGAAUUAUCAAGCAGCUUGGGUUUAAAUUUGUAUGGAUGCAAGAAAAUUCAUUAUUGUGUAGUACUUUCUUAACAGAAUUAUCAAUGCACCAUCACGUUGCCAUUAAGAUAAUGUAAGAACUAUGGAACUGCAGAACUAUACAAUUGAGGAAUAUGAUUGAUUUUGAAAUUACUAACAGAAUUUGUUCAUAAUGCCCACUUAGUAAUUAAUGUUGGAUUCAGGUCUAGAAUAUGCUAAU